CCUACGGGUGGCAGCAGUAGGGAAUCUUCCACAAUGGGCGCAAGCCUGAUGGUGCAACACCGCGUGAGUGAAGAAGGGUUUCGGCUCGUAAAGCUCUGUUGUUGGAGAAGAACAUUCGUGAGAGUAACUGUUCACGCAGUGACGGUAUCCAACCAGAAAGUCACGGCUAACUAAGUCCCAGCAGCCGCGGUAAUACGUAGGUGACAAGCCUUAUCCGGAUUUAUUGGGCGUAAGGCGAGCGCAGGCGGUUGCCUAGGUCUGAUGUGAAAGCCGUCGGAUUAACCGAAGAAGUGCAUAGGAAACCGGGCGACUUGAGUGCAGAAGAGGAAAGUGGAACUCCAGGUGUAGCGGUGGAAUGCGUAGAUAUAUGGAAGAACACCAGUGGCGAAGGCGGCUGUCUGGUCUGCAACUGACGCUGAGGCUCGAAAGCAUGGGUAGCGAACAGGAUUAGAUACCCGAGUAGUC
Molecule: ribosomal RNA, 465 nt
Filed under: uncultured bacterium
Lineage: Bacteria
Description: partial 16S ribosomal RNA
Rfam family: Bacterial small subunit ribosomal RNA
Source: RNAcentral